Molecule: long non-coding RNA, 1285 nt
Organism: Saccostrea cuccullata (small rock oyster)
Lineage: Eukaryota; Metazoa; Mollusca; Bivalvia; Ostreida; Ostreidae
Exons: 3
Source: RefSeq, a predicted model, not a curated record
ACAAAUAUAAAGAUUGCAAGGACCUCUAUGUAAAUGGUAAUACAGAAUCUGGUGUGUAUGAGAUCUAUCCAUUUGGUAAUAACAGCAAGGUCAGCGUCUUCUGUGACAUGAUGACAGAGGGUGGAGGGUGGACAGUAAGAUCUCUCUCUCUCUCUCCCUUUCUCUCUCUCUUCAGCUCCACCAUCAAUUAUAAUUACUCCUUCUUUAACAAUUUAUUAAUCUUUGAUUUUAACGCUGAUAUCAAACCUUUUCGCUGAAUGAACAUUAAAUGGUUGUUCUAGUUUAUUUUACAGGAAGAUAAUGAAAUUCCAAAAUAAAUAUUUUUUAAUUACAAAGUAGAAAAAAAAUAUAUAAUAUAGCAAAACUCCUUUAGUACGAACACGGAUAUUGCGAAUUUACGGAUGUAGCGUAGUCAUCUUGGAUCUCCAACUAUAUAAAUUUAAUGAAUUUCUUAUACGGUUAUAACGAAUUACGGAUAUAGCGAAGUAAUUCCUGUGUCAUAGGUUCCUGUGACUUCGUUAUAACCGAGUUUUACUGUAUUAUCAAUUUGAUAACAAAGAUUUUUUUCUACUUUAAAUACUAGUAGUUGAAGGGAUUAAUGUAAUACGCAAGUUUUGAGAUUAUGAUGAAUUUGAAAGAAAUUGGCAGGGAAUAGUUGAUAUACUUUAAAUUUUUUUUUACUGUUACUUAUUCAAGAAAGUGUGUGCCCCACAUCUUUCUCUCUAACAUCUCGUUUCUCAAUCUUCCUCUCCUUCUCUUUCUCUCUACAUAAACGUUGACACUAGCUUUUAUUACUUUUUUUGUUGUUGCUUUAUUUCAAACUGUCUUGUAUAUUUAUUUACAUAUACGUCUGUUUUUAUAUUUGUAUAAUUUGUGUGAAAGUAAAAAUAAACUAUCCCCCAAAAAAUAAUAAAUAAAUAAAAAUAACCUCCUUUUCUUCAUAAAAACUCAGGCUUUACAGAAACGUGUCAGUGGUUCGGUGUCAUUCGACAGAACGUGGUCCGACUACAAGACGGGAUUCGGGCAUCCUAGCGGAUCCUACUGGAUAGGAAAUGACGUUAUACAUCAACUUACUAAGAGAAGCAACACCUCCCUCUACGUCACCCUGACACUGACCAAUGGCACAAAGCUCUAUGAAUUAUACAGCCAGUUCUCUGUUGCUGACGAAACCAACAAAUACCGACUUUUUCUUGGCGGACCAGCUACUGGGACCCUGGGAGACAGCAUGACAAGCGGCCACGAUCUGUCUGGAAUGCCAUUCACCACCAAGGACAGAGAUAACGAC